GGGAAUAUCGUAUAAUAGGUAGUACAAUAAUAUUGCAUGUUAUGAAUUUGAGUUCGAUUCUCAAUAUUUCCA
RNAcentral lists this transfer RNA (72 nucleotides) under Xylaria hypoxylon. It matches the Rfam family "tRNA". Rfam says of the family: Transfer RNA (tRNA) molecules are approximately 80 nucleotides in length. Their secondary structure includes four short double-helical elements and three loops (D, anti-codon, and T loops). Further hydrogen bonds mediate the characteristic L-shaped molecular structure. tRNAs have two regions of fundamental functional importance: the anti-codon, which is responsible for specific mRNA codon recognition, and the 3' end, to which the tRNAs corresponding amino acid is attached (by aminoacyl-tRNA synthetases). tRNAs cope with the degeneracy of the genetic code in two manners: having more than one tRNA (with a specific anti-codon) for a particular amino acid; and 'wobble' base-pairing, i.e. permitting non-standard base-pairing at the 3rd anti-codon position. Lineage: Eukaryota; Fungi; Ascomycota; Sordariomycetes; Xylariales; Xylariaceae. The record is from Rfam by way of RNAcentral.